This 334-nucleotide ribosomal RNA is filed under the name uncultured soil bacterium. Its description in RNAcentral is "bacterial SSU rRNA". It matches the Rfam family "Bacterial small subunit ribosomal RNA", at positions 26 to 354 of the family's 1533-position model. The record is from RNAcentral.
AGAUUGAACGCUGGCGGCAGGCCUAACACAUGCAAGUCGAGCGGCAGCACGGGUACUUGUACCUGGUGGCGAGCGGCGGACGGGUGAGUAAUGCCUAGGAAUCUGCCUGGUAGUGGGGGAUAACGGCUCGGAAACGGACGCUAAUACCGCAUACGUCCUACGGGAGAAAGCAGGGGACCUUCGGGCCUUGCGCUAUCAGAUGAGCCUAGGUCGGAUUAGCUUAGGUUGGUGAGGUAAUGGCUCACCGAAGGCGACGAUCCGUAACUGGUACUGGAGAGGAUGAUCAGUCACACUGGAACUGACGACGACGGUCCAGACCUCCGUACGGGAGCAG